UACGAGGGGUGCGAGCGUUGCUCGGAAUUAUUGGGCGUAAAGGGUAGGUAGGUGGUCUCAUUUGUCUGGGGUGAAAGCCUUGAGCUUAACUCAAGAAGUGCCCUAGAAACGGUGAGACUAGAGUUCUGGAGAGGGUCGUGGAAUUCCCGGUGUAGCGGUGAAAUGCGUAGAGAUCGGGAGGAACACCAGCGGCGAAGGCGGCGACCUGGACAGAUACUGACACUCAACUACGAAAGCGUGGGGAGCAAACAGG
Molecule: ribosomal RNA, 253 nt
Filed under: uncultured bacterium
Lineage: Bacteria
Description: partial 16S ribosomal RNA
Rfam family: Bacterial small subunit ribosomal RNA
Source: RNAcentral